This is a long non-coding RNA of Nematolebias whitei (Rio pearlfish), 1848 nucleotides long. RefSeq lists it as uncharacterized. The record is from RefSeq and is a predicted model, not a curated record. NCBI's taxonomy places the organism in Eukaryota, Metazoa, Chordata, Actinopteri, Cyprinodontiformes, Rivulidae. The transcript is spliced from 8 exons.
UUCGAGUCCGUGCUGAGGGCAGCCGGCAGCGCGCGCUGCCUGGUUUUACGCACCGGGUGGCUGAGCUUCAAACACUCUUUGUUCCGGCCCCAGCUGUUAGAGGUUGAUUUUAGCUGAGGCUGCUGUGCUGCUCUUCCAUUGGAGGUGGUUGACCCGCGCGCUUCAAGACCAGAGAUCUUCUUUCUCACCGCCACUUUUUAUCCAAAGUACCAAAAAGCUUCUCAGAGAUUAAACCACCUGGAUGAUCUGUUUUCUUACCAACAAAAUGUCUCAACUCCGCGGCGACACCAGGCCUCCGGGACGGACAGCAGCUGCCGCCAUGUUGCGCUUUGACCUGGAGGAGUUUGGAGAAGCUGCGCCGCUUUUACGCACGGCUGAGCUGGAGCGGCGGGAGGCGCGCGCUCCUUUUCCACGGUGAGAAUCAAACCUGUCUCUUUACUGAAACAGAAGAUUUCCAUGGGACCAGAAAUGAAAUGAACCAGCAGCGGACGACUCUGACAUCCAGCUCUGUUCAGGGCAGCAUCUCUGACGGUGUCCGCAUGGUUUCUGUGAGUGUGUCCAGGUGGUAAUACCCCCCACCCCCAGUGUGUCCAUGUUUCCUUCAGAGGCCGGAUGAAAUGACAGAGCUGAGCUGUGAGCUGGAGUCAUGUCCACCUGCAGGAUGGUCUGAUGUCUCCUCAGAUCCUCUGGACCAGUUGAAAGAAGCACCCCAGAGGAACUGAGGUGUCUCCUCGAAUAUGGACCAGGAGGAAGACAACAGAGAGGACACUGAGUGUCCAGGACCAGGACUGACCGUGGAGCAGUAAAGAUCCUUCUUUUGGACCACGGGCCCAGGAAGGAGGAGGUAAACGACAAGAACUGAGCUCAUGGACCCUUCAGGUGGUUUCAGCCUCCACCUCCUGAACCUCCAUCCUCCUAACCUGCACGCUGACCAGAACCAGAUCUGCCCCAUGAUGUUUCAGACUUUUCCCUCAAACCGUCUGAUCGAACAGACGAGUCUGAACUCCUGAGAAACAGAAAACAAGAAGACACUUCAAAACUGUCCCAAAGAGAAACUGGUGGAACGUUGGGUGGAUCGAGAACUUGCUGUGAAUGAAGCUCCUGCUGACGACGUUCUGCACAAAUCCCACCACGAGCUAAAGGAGCAGAAGAACAAGGACCUCUCUCUGCAGAUCCAACAGUUUUUAAAGCUGACGCUGGCAGGGUUAAGAUGAUGAAGCAGCUGUGAGAUGGAGGAACUGAGAAAUCACGAGGUGGGAGAGGUCCUGUCUGCCGAGAGGAACAUCAAGAGGUCAGCAUGGAGACAGGGUGGAUCCACAUCCUGCAGAGUCCCCCGCACGCUGAGCAGGAGAGAGACCAAGAUGGAGGACGUUUACCUGGACUCAGCUGGUGAGUCUUCAGGAGAAAGUUAGAGGGACGAGCACUGAAGACUUCCAACAAGAAGACCCUGGAGUAUUCAAACACCCUGGACCUCCAAAGUGCAGCUGAUUCCAGGAGACCCAACCACAAAUUAAAUGCAGGAGCUCCACGUCUCUGCGCCCGCAGACAUUUAUGACAUCACAGAUGAAACCAGUCAGGGAGCAGCUGGAGAAAGAAGAAGACAACCUGACACUGAAGGGCAGGAAGCUCCAGCAGGAGGUUGGUUUGGUGGAUCCAGAGAACGGAUCGGGUCAACAGUUCACCUGAAAACUGCUGCAGGAGGGAAGAACGUGACCUUUGAAUGAAAUCAGUAAAAUUAGCAGCACACCUCACAGGGACUAACUUUAGAAGCGUCUGGACGUAAUCCUCUGCUGGAAGUGGACUCGGCCACGUGACCUCUCAUGAGGUUCUGAAUCUGGCUCUGUUAUC